UAGCCAGACUCCUACGGGAGGCAGCAGUGAGGAAUAUUGGUCAAUGGGCGCGAGCCUGAACCAGCCAAGUAGCGUGAAGGAUGACUGCCCUACGGGUUGUAAACUUCUUUUAUAAAGGAAUAAAGUGAGGCACGUGUGCCUUUUUGUAUGUACUUUAUGAAUAAGGAUCGGCUAACUCCGUGCCAGCAGCCGCGGUAAUACGGAGGAUGCGAGCGUUAUCCGGAUUUAUUGGGUUUAAAGGGUGCGUAGGCGGGCUGUUAAGUCAGCGGUCAAAUGUCGGGGCUCAACCCCGGCCUGCCGAUGAAACUGGCGGCCUCGAGUGGGCGAGAAGUAUGCGGAAUGCGUGGUGUAGCGGUGAAAUGCUUAGAUAUUGCGCAGAACUCCGAUUGCGAAGGCAGCAUACCGGCGGCGAUCUGACGCUGAGGCACGAAAGCGUGGGUAUCGAACAGGAUUAGAUACCCUCGUAGCC
RNAcentral lists this ribosomal RNA (469 nucleotides) under uncultured bacterium. Its description in RNAcentral is "bacterial SSU rRNA". It matches the Rfam family "Bacterial small subunit ribosomal RNA", at positions 328 to 795 of the family's 1533-position model. The record is from RNAcentral.